CACAUAUGUGAAGAGUGGCGAACGGGUGAGUAAUACAUAAGUAACCUGGCCUUUACAGGGGGAUAACUAUUGGAAACGAUAGCUAAGACCGCAUAGGUGUGAUAACCGCAUGGAGAUGACAUGAAAUAUGCUACGGCAUAGGUAGAGGAUGGACUUAUGGCGCAUUAGCUAGUUGGAGGGGUAACGGCCCACCAAGGCGACGAUGCGUAGCCGACCUGAGAGGGUGACCGGCCACACUGGGACUGAGACACGGCCCAGACUCCUACGGGAGGCAGCAGUAGGGAAUUUUCGGCAAUGGGGGAAACCCUGACCGAGCAACGCCGCGUGAAGGAAGAAGUAAUUCGUUAUGUAAACUUCUGUCAUAGAGGAAGAACGGUGCGUGUAGGGAAUGACAUGCAAGUGACGGUACUCUAUAAGAAAGCCACGGCUAACUACGUGCCAGCAGCCGCGGUAAUACGUAGGUGGCGAGCGUUAUCCGGAAUUAUUGGGCGUAAAGAGGGAGCAGGCGGCACUAAGGGUCUGUGGUGAAAGAUCGAAGCUUAACUUCGGUAAGCCAUGGAAACCGUAGAGCUAGAGUGUGUGAGAGGAUCGUGGAAUUCCAUGUGUAGCGGUGAAAUGCGUAGAUAUAUGGAGGAACACCUUGGCGAAGGCGACGAUCUGGCGCAUAACUGACGCUCAGUCCCGAAAGCGUGGGGAGCAAAUAGGAUUAGAUACCCUAGUAGUCCACGCCGUAAACGAUGAGUACUAAGUGUUGGGAGUCAAAUCUCAGUGCUGCAGUUAACGCAAUAAGUACUCCGCCUGAGUAGUACGUUCGCAAGAAUGAAACUCAAAGGAAUUGACGGGGGCCCGCACAAGCGGUGGAGCAUGUGGUUUAAUUCGAAGCAACGCGAAGAACCUUACCAGGUCUUGACAUCGAUCUAAAGGCUCCAGAGAUGGAGAGAUAGCUAUAGAGAAGACAGGUGGUGCAUGGUUGUCGUCAGCUCGUGUCGUGAGAUGUUGGGUUAAGUCCCGCAACGAGCGCAACCCUGUUGCCAGUUGCCAGCAUUAAGUUGGGGACUCUGGCGAGACUGCCGGUGACAAGCCGGAGGAAGGCGGGGAUGACGUCAAAUCAUCAUGCCCCUUAUGACCUGGGCUACACACGUGCUACAAUGGACAGAGCAGAGGGAAGCGAAGCCGCGAGGUGGAGCGAAACCCAGAAAACUGUUCUCAGUUCGGACUGCAGUCUGCAACUCGACUGCACGAAGUUGGAAUCGCUAGUAAUCGCGAAUCAGCAUGUCGCGGUGAAUACGUUCUCGGGCCUUGUACACACCGCCCGUCACACCAUGAGAGUCGGUAACACCCGAAGCCGGUGGCCUAACCGCAAGGAAGGAGCUGUCUAAGGUGGGACUGAUGAUUGGGGUGAAGUCGUAACAAGGUA
Molecule: ribosomal RNA, 1417 nt
Filed under: metagenome
Description: bacterial SSU rRNA
Rfam family: Bacterial small subunit ribosomal RNA
Source: RNAcentral